GAGCGCAGUGGUUUGGAGGAGUCCGAGGUUGCUAUGGAGUCCCCGAAACUUUUGAAAACUGUCGGGGUUCCAGGCGAAGAGCAAGAGCGAAUGGAGGAUUUCUGGAGACAUGUGCUAAGCUUAAGGUGACAAGGGAAUUUCAAUGGAGCAGGGAGAAGGGUAAUUUUACUGCCUACCUUGGGAAACACGAGAGUUGAACAUGAUAACUAUACAUGAUGGAUGAAACCAGCGUUAGGUGCUAUAAAUUUGGAAGUGGAACUUGAUAUUCUGGAGUGAUGUGUGCUCUUUUUGAAAAGAAAACACGUCUGAGUCAUUUUAGAAAGGAUCAUUUCUGCCACCUCUCCAAAAUCCAGACAUAACUUCAAGAUAUUGUGAGUCCAGCUGCAGAUCACUGCAAUAAAGUGCGUAUCUCAGUGAGAAGCAGAAUCUCUUCUCCAGAUCCUGAAUCUGGGAUGGCCCCAUGACUUACUUUGAUCAAUAAUAUGUGGCAGAAGUGAUGCAUGUAACUUCUGAGGUCCAGGAGAAUACCAGAGAAUACAGAAUAUCACAUCAUGUGGCUUCCAUAUUUAAUCUUUUGGAACAGUCUUCUGAGACUUCCUAGGAUGAAAGAAAAUGUGAAGGAAAAGGCUGAACCAUCAGCCAGAACCAACUGACACACUUGAGAGUGAAGCCAGCGUGGGACUCCUAGCUCAACUCUGCGAGUGAACCUAGACAAAAUCGGACAUUUCACAAAAAUUUGAGAAAUAAAAAUUGUUAUUGUUUUAAUCCU
This 769-nucleotide long non-coding RNA is filed under the name Sus scrofa (pig). RNAcentral's name for it is "lncRNA (ENSSSCG00005020856.1)". Lineage: Eukaryota; Metazoa; Chordata; Mammalia; Artiodactyla; Suidae. The record is from RNAcentral.